This is a long non-coding RNA of Pipra filicauda (Wire-tailed manakin), 241 nucleotides long. RefSeq lists it as uncharacterized. The record is from RefSeq and is a predicted model, not a curated record. The transcript is spliced from 2 exons. NCBI's taxonomy places the organism in Eukaryota, Metazoa, Chordata, Aves, Passeriformes, Pipridae.
GGCAGUGCUGUAGCUCAGGUUACUCAGAGGUUGUCAUCAUCCCAGGAUCAGGUUGAGCAUCUUCUGGAACUGAAUUAUCCCAGGCUUGUCAGAGCUCCCCGGUGCUGCGCGGUGUGUCCUCGCACGUCACAAGAGGCAACGUCUGCCCCAAGGAACUUAUAAUGAAAAACUGCAGAAUGGGCUGGGAGAAGGGAAUUAAUCAAUGAUUGACUUUCUCUGCAUUAAAUACAGGUGUGUCUGA